Molecule: transfer RNA, 72 nt
Filed under: Camelus ferus (Wild Bactrian camel)
Lineage: Eukaryota; Metazoa; Chordata; Mammalia; Artiodactyla; Camelidae
Rfam family: tRNA
About the family: Transfer RNA (tRNA) molecules are approximately 80 nucleotides in length. Their secondary structure includes four short double-helical elements and three loops (D, anti-codon, and T loops).
Source: Rfam by way of RNAcentral
GAGGGCACAGCUCGGCGGCAGAGCGCACGUUUAGCACUCACGAGGUCCUGGGUUCAAUCCCCAGUGCCUCCA